UACGGAGGGUGCGAGCGUUGUCCGGAAUCACUGGGCGUAAAGGGCGCGUAGGCGGCGCGGAUAGUCGGCGGUGAAAGCCCGGAGCUCAACUCCGGGUCGGCCGUCGAUACUUCCGGGCUUGAGCACUGUAGAGGCAGAUGGAAUUCCGGGUGUAGCGGUGGAAUGCGUAGAGAUCCGGAAGAACACCGGUGGCGAAGACGGUCUGCUGGGCAGUUGCUGACGCUGAUGCGCGACAGCGUGGGGAGCAAACAGG
This 253-nucleotide ribosomal RNA is filed under the name uncultured bacterium. Its description in RNAcentral is "partial 16S ribosomal RNA". It matches the Rfam family "Bacterial small subunit ribosomal RNA", at positions 524 to 776 of the family's 1533-position model. The record is from RNAcentral.